UACGUAGGGGGCAAGCGUUGUCCGGAAUCAUUGGGCGUAAAGCGCGCGUAGGCGGCUGAGUAAGUCUGCUCUGCAAGCCCGGGGCUCAACCCCGGGAGGCGGGUGGAUACUGCUCAGCUCGAGUCCGGAAGAGGAGUGUGGAAUUCCUGGUGUAGCGGUGAAAUGCGCAGAUAUCAGGAGGAAAACCAAUGGAGAAGGCAGCACUCUGGGACGGUACUGACGCUGAGACGCGAAAGCGUGGGGAGCAAACAGG
This 253-nucleotide ribosomal RNA is filed under the name uncultured bacterium. RNAcentral describes it as "partial 16S ribosomal RNA". It matches the Rfam family "Bacterial small subunit ribosomal RNA", at positions 524 to 776 of the family's 1533-position model. The record is from RNAcentral.